Molecule: ribosomal RNA, 433 nt
Filed under: uncultured bacterium
Lineage: Bacteria
Description: partial 16S ribosomal RNA
Rfam family: Bacterial small subunit ribosomal RNA
Source: RNAcentral
AACGAACGCUGGCGGCAUGCCUAACACAUGCAAGUCGAACGAGACCUUCGGGUCUAGUUGCGCACGUGUGCGUAACGCGUGGGAACCUGCCUUUAGGUUCGGAAUAACUCAGAGAAAUUUGAGCUAAUACCGGAUGAUGUCUUCGGACCAAAGAUUUAUCGCCUUUAGAUGGGCCCGCGUUGGAUUAGCUGGUUGGUGGGGUAAAGGCCUACCAAGGCGACGAUCCAUAGCUGGUCUGAGAGGAUGAUCAGCCACACUGGGACUGAGACACGGCCCAGAAUACUACGGGACGGAGCAGUGGGGAAUAUUAGACAAUGGGCGAAAGCCUAAUCCAGCAAUGCCGCGUGAGUGAUGAAGGCCUUAGGGUUGUAAAGCUCUUUUACCCGAGAUGAUAAUGACAGUAUCGGGAGAAUAAGCUCCGGCUAACUCCGUG